GUGUAUCACCUUCGGGGGUAGAGCACUGUUUUGGCUAGGGGGUCAUGGCGACUUACCAAACCAAGGCAAACUCCGAAUACCGAAGAGUGUCAGCACGGGAGACAGAGCACCGGGUGCUAACGUCCGGACUCAAGAGGGAAACAACCCAGACCGCCAGCUAAGGUCCCCAAAUAUGGCUAAGUGGGAAACGAAGUGGGAAGGCAUUGACAGUCAGGAAGUUGGCUUAGAAGCAGCCAUCCUUUAAAGAAAGCGUAAUAGCUCACUGAUCGAGUCGUCCUGCGCGGAAGAUGUAACGGGGCUCAAACUGUGCACCGAAAUCGCGGAUCUCAGCGUUCCUUUUAGAACAUUCAUGUUUCGCGGAGCGGCACAACGCAAGUUGUGGCGCGACGCAAAACGAAUACACGACAAAACAGUUGGGGGCAUGUUCCCCUCGAUUGAAGGUUUGUCGUUCACCCUGCGGCGUGAACGACAACCGUGGGCGUGUUCUAAAAGGAGCGCUGAGAUGGUAGGAGAGCGUUCCGUAGGCCUGCGAAGGUGUGGUGUGAACCAUGCUGGAGGUAUCGGAAGUGCGAAUGCUGACAUGAGUAGCGAUAAAGGGAGUGAAAGGCUCCCUCGCCGAAAGCCCAAGGUUUCCUGCGCAACGUUCAUCGGCGCAGGGUGAGUCGGCCCCUAAGGCGAGGCAGAAAUGCGUAGUCGAUGGGAAACAGGUUAAUAUUCCUGUACCUCAAUGCAAUGCGAUGUGGGGACGGAGAAGGUUAGGCAAUCCGGGUGUUGGACGUCCCGGUUCAAGCGUGUAGGCGGAUCCUUUAGGCAAAUCCGGAGGGUCAACGUCGAGGCGUGAUAACGAGUGCCCUUGAGGCGCGAAGUUGCUGAUACCAAGCUUCCAAGAAAAGCCACUAAGCUUCAGUUGCAUUGGGACCGUACCGCAAACCGACACAGGUGGGCAGGAUGAGAAUUCUAAGGCGCUUGAGAGAACUCGGGUGAAGGAACUCGGCAAAUUAGCACCGUAACUUCGGGAGAAGGUGCGCCCUGGUAGGUUGUAGCGCUUCGCGCGUGAAGGCUGAAGGGGUUGCAGUGAAAAGGUGGCUGCGACUGUUUAAUAAAAACACAGCACUGUGCAAACACGAAAGUGGACGUAUACAGUGUGACGCCUGCCCGGUGCCGGAAGGUUAAGUGAUGGGGUGCAAGCUCUUGAUCGAAGCCCCGGUAAACGGCGGCCGUAACUAUAACGGUCCUAAGGUAGCGAAAUUCCUUGUCGGGUAAGUUCCGACCUGCACGAAUGGCGUAACGAUGGCCACACUGUCUCCUCCUGAGACUCAGCGAAGUUGAAAUGUUUGUGAUGAUGCAAUCUACCCGCGGCUAGACGGAAAGGCACCAUGCAC
This 1382-nucleotide ribosomal RNA is filed under the name soil metagenome. Its description in RNAcentral is "bacterial LSU rRNA". It matches the Rfam family "Bacterial large subunit ribosomal RNA", at positions 884 to 2098 of the family's 2925-position model. The record is from RNAcentral.